This is a long non-coding RNA of Lolium perenne, 1251 nucleotides long. RefSeq lists it as uncharacterized. The record is from RefSeq and is a predicted model, not a curated record. NCBI's taxonomy places the organism in Eukaryota, Viridiplantae, Streptophyta, Magnoliopsida, Poales, Poaceae.
CGUCGGAUCGCGAUCGAGCGGCUUGAACGAAGCGGCGCAAGCCUCCAAAACACGAGACUGCUUUUCCCCUCCUUUCGUCGUCCUCAACCCCUCUCCUCUCGUGGAUCCGAGUCAACUUCCUCUCACGACUCACUCCCUCUCGAUCUACCCAAUAAAUCUGCCUAGUCGGCGCGAGCGGAUUGCCGGUAAGCUGUGGCGCGGUGAUCCUAGUGGAUGGGAGCGGUGGUGGAGCAACCUCGCUGUCGCAGUCUGCCGAGAAGUUUUGGGGUGUUCCUCCCGGUGGGUGAAUCGGUGGCGGGAUCCCGCACGAUUCUCUUCAUCGGAGGCGAAGAUCUGCAGCCGUAUCGAGCGGGUAAGCGGAUUCGAGUUUGGGGCGGGGCGGUGGCGGUGGCGGUGAAUUGACUGCAGGUUCGAUCUGGUGGCGCGGUGGGUAUGUUUCUGGCCGCGAAGUCUCCUUUGAGUUUCGACGCGACAUCUAAGUUCCACUCGUCUCUGGUCUGCUGGUCACUCCCUUACCUGCCUCUCUGCCUAUGCCCGUGGUGUUUAGAUUGAUACACUGCAAUACCGUGCUGUGCACAAGGAUUUGGUUCUUGGGGGCAAUUUGAUGGCAUAUAGUACGUACCUGAUUAUGUGGACGAUUUUGAGUCAAAACUGAGUAGUGUUCUUUGAGGUCCGUGGAAUCAUAUAAUGACAUGAACUGUUGACCCUCGCUCUAGGAUUCAGACUGCAAAGCCCGCGUCGGCUUCUUCUUUGCUUCUGGUGUAAUAGCUCAUAAAAAUUAUUAUUUUGAUGCUUGUAUUUGUAGAACUUCAUGGUUUGCCUCUGAAAAAAGACCAGACUUAUGAGCAUGAUACUUAUUACUACUUGAUCUACUUUAUUGCAUAUUGGUUAUGUAGUUUUUUAUUUCCAGAUUAAUAGAAGGGUCCAAAUUUUGUUCUCCGGAUGUAACUUUUGCAGACUAACUUUUGCCUCUUAAUUCUUUUUUACUUCCAGAUCAGUAGAAGGAUGUAUAUUUUAUCCCCUAGAUGUAUUUUUUUGCAGACUAAUUAUUGCUUCUUAAAUUUUUCACUUCCAGUAGAAUGUAACUAUAUUAAUUUCUUUCUCUACUUUAGAUGUAAUUUUUAUCAUUUUUAUACAUCCUGAACGCUCAAUGGAUCAAGCUGUAAAACACUAGUAUAUUUGUGAUCUCAGUUUUGGUGAUUUUGGAUGUAAUUUUUAUAUUUUUCUUACAUCCAUCGCUGCAUUUUUACA